RNAcentral lists this ribosomal RNA (459 nucleotides) under uncultured bacterium. RNAcentral describes it as "partial 16S ribosomal RNA". It matches the Rfam family "Bacterial small subunit ribosomal RNA", at positions 338 to 795 of the family's 1533-position model. The record is from RNAcentral.
CCUACGGGUGGCAGCAGUGAGGAAUAUUGGUCAAUGGUCGGGAGACUGAACCAGCCAAGCCGCGUGAGGGAUGAAGGUACAGAGUAUCGUAAACCUCUUUUGUCAGGGAACAAAGGCGGGGACGUGUCCCCGGAUGAGUGUACCUGAAGAAAAAGCAUCUGCUAACUCCGUGCCAGCAGCCGCGGUAAUACGGAGGAUGCGAGCGUUAUCCGGAUUUAUUGGGUUUAAAGGGUGCGCAGGCGGGCUGUUAAGCCGGCGGUAAAAAUUCAGGGCUCAACCCUGUCGAGCCGUCGGAACUGGCAGCCUUGAGUGGGCGAGAAGUAUGCGGAAUGCGUGGUGUAGCGGUGAAAUGCAUAGAUAUCACGCAGAACGCCGAUUGCGAAGGCAGCAUACCGGCGCCCGACUGACGCUGAGGCACGAAAGCGUGGGGAUCGAACAGGAUUAGAUACCCUUGUAGUC